Molecule: ribosomal RNA, 232 nt
Filed under: Thereuopoda clunifera
Lineage: Eukaryota; Metazoa; Arthropoda; Chilopoda; Scutigeromorpha; Scutigeridae
Description: partial 12S ribosomal RNA
Source: RNAcentral
GAGGAACCUCUCCUGUAAUCGACAAUCCACGUAAAUUUUACCUAGAUUUGGAUUACAGCUUGUAUAUCGCUGUCGUAAGAUUAUUUUAUGAGAAAUUUUUCUGAAUUAAGGUUUUAUUUAUGUCAAGUCAAGGUGCAGUAUAUGUCUAGGGUUGAGAUGGGUUACAAUAUCAGUAGGUAUAUGGAGAUAGAGUUGUAAGGUUUUAUUGAAGGUGGAUUUAAUUGUAAUAUGA